GUACUUAACACAUGCAAGUCGAACGAGGAGCUUCGGUGUAGCAAUACACCGGAGCUUCUAGUGGCGCACGGGUGAGUAACACGUGGGCAACCUGCCCUCGAGUCCGGGAUACCCUCUCGAAAGGGAGGCUAAUACUGGAUACGUUCUCUGGAUCGCAGGGUCUGGAGAGGAAAGGCGGCGAAAGCUGCCGCUCUUGGAGGGGCUCGCGGCCUAUCAGCUAGUUGGUGAGGUCAUGGCUCACCAAGGCGAUGACGGGUAGCUGGUCUGAGAGGACGACCAGCCACACGGGAACUGAGACACGGUCCCG
RNAcentral lists this ribosomal RNA (307 nucleotides) under uncultured bacterium. RNAcentral's name for it is "bacterial SSU rRNA". It matches the Rfam family "Bacterial small subunit ribosomal RNA", at positions 44 to 334 of the family's 1533-position model. The record is from RNAcentral.